RNAcentral lists this ribosomal RNA (256 nucleotides) under uncultured prokaryote. RNAcentral describes it as "partial 16S ribosomal RNA". It matches the Rfam family "Bacterial small subunit ribosomal RNA", at positions 521 to 777 of the family's 1533-position model. The record is from RNAcentral.
UAAUACAGAGGUGGCAAGCGUUGUUCGGAAUUACUGGGCGUAAGGGCGCGUAGGCGGCUCCUUAAGUCAGACGUGAAAUCCCCAGGCUUAACCUGGGAACUGCGUCUGAUACUGAGAAGCUUGAGUUCGGGAGAGGGAUGUGGAAUUCCAGGUGUAGCGGUGAAAUGCGUAGAUAUCUGGAGGAACACCGGUGGCGAAGGCGGCAUCCUGGACCGAAACUGACGCUGAGGCGCGAAAGCCAGGGGAGCAAACGGGA